GAUUAACGCUAGCGGUAUGCCUAAUACAUGCAAGUCGAACGAGUAGCAAUACUAGUGGCAAACGGGUGAGUAAUGUGUAUCUAACCUACCUUUUAGAAAGGAAUAACUAGUCGAAAGAUUAGCUAAAACCUUAUAGGAAACACGAAGGCAUCUUUGUGUUUUUAAAAUUGCGUUUGCAAUACUUUAAGAUGGGGGUAUAUCUUAUCAGAUAGUUGGUGAGGUAAUGGCCCACCAAGUCUAUGACGAGUAACUAUGCUGAGAGGCAGAAUAGUCACAAUGGGACUGAGAUACGGCCCAUACUCCUACGGGAGGCAGCAGUAGGGAAUUUUUCACAAUGGGCGAAAGCCUGAUGGAGCAAUACCGCGUGAAUGACGAAGGUCGAAAGAUUGUAAAAUUCUUUUAUUUGGGAGGAACGAUGCUAAUAGGAAAUGAUUAGUAAGUGACUGUACCAUUUGAAUAAGUAACGGCCAACUUCGUGCCAGCAGCCGCGGUAAUACGAAGGUUACAAGCGUUAUCCGGAUUUACUGGGCGUAAAGCGAUGCGCAGGCUGAUUUGUAAGUCUGGUGUUAAAUGCAGUGGCUCAACCAUUGUAUGCAUUGGAAACUACAAGUCUAGAGUGUGAUAGGGAGUUUUAGAAUUUCAUGUGAAGCGGUGGAAUGCGUAGAUAUAUGAAAGAAUACCGGUGGGGAAGCCGAAAACUUAGGUCAUUACUGACGCUUAGGCUCGAAAGUAUGGGGAGCAAAUAGGAUUAGAUACCCUAGUAGUCCAUACUGUAAACGCUGAUCAUUAGUUGUUAGUACAAAUGUACUAGUAACGUAGCUAACGCGUUAAAUGAUCCGCCUGAGUAGUACAUUCGCAAGAAUGAAACUCAAAACGGAAUUGACGGGGACCCGCACAAGUGGUGGAGUAUGUUGUUUAAUUCGACGUUACACGCAGAACCUUACCAGGGCUUGACAUCUUCUGCAAAGUCCUAGAAAUAGGAUGGAGGUUAACAGAAUGACAGGUGGUGCAUGGUCGUCGUCAGCUCGUGUCGUGAGAUGUUGGGUUAAGUCCCGCAACGAGCGCAACCCCUGUUGCUAGUUAAUUUAUCUAGCAAGACUGCUGUCGUAAGACAGAGGAAGGUGGGGAUGACGUCAAAUCAUCAUGCCCUUUAUGCCCUGGGCUACAAACGUACUACAAUGGCCGAUACAAACUGUUGCCAAACCGUAAGGUGGAGCUAAUCAGAGAAAGUCGGUCUCAGUUCAGAUUGAGGGCUGCAAUUCGCCCUCAUGAAGUUGGAAUCACUAGUAAUCGCGUAUCAGACAUGUCGCGGUGAAUGCGUUCUCGGGU
This 1329-nucleotide ribosomal RNA is filed under the name uncultured Mycoplasma sp. RNAcentral's name for it is "bacterial SSU rRNA". It matches the Rfam family "Bacterial small subunit ribosomal RNA", at positions 28 to 1379 of the family's 1533-position model. The record is from RNAcentral. Lineage: Bacteria; Bacillati; Mycoplasmatota; Mollicutes; Mycoplasmatales; Mycoplasmataceae.